RNAcentral lists this ribosomal RNA (497 nucleotides) under uncultured bacterium. Its description in RNAcentral is "partial 16S ribosomal RNA". It matches the Rfam family "Bacterial small subunit ribosomal RNA", at positions 28 to 507 of the family's 1533-position model. The record is from RNAcentral.
GAUGAACGCUGGCGGCGUGCCUAAUACAUGCAAGUCGAGCGAACGGACGAGAAGCUUGCUUCUCUGAUGUUAGCGGCGGACGGGUGAGUAACACGUGGAUAACCUACCUAUAAGACUGGGAUAACUUCGGGAAACCGGAGCUAAUACCGGAUAAUAUUUUGAACCGCAUGGUUCAAAAGUGAAAGACGGUCUUGCUGUCACUUAUAGAUGGAUCCUCGCUGCAUUAGCUAGUUGGUAAGGUAACGGCUUACCAAGGCAACGAUGCAUAGCCGACCUGAGAGGGUGAUCGGCCACACUGGAACUGAGAAACGGUACAGAAGCCUACGGGAGGCAGCAGUAGGGAAUCUUACGCAAUGGGCGAAAGCCUGACGGAGCAACGCCGCGUGAGUGAUGAAGGUCUUCGGAUCGUAAAACGCUGUUAUUAGGGAAGAACAUAUGUGUAAGUAACUGUGCACAUCUUGACGGUACCUAAUCAGAAAGCCACGGCUAACUACGUG